RNAcentral lists this transfer RNA (65 nucleotides) under Dipodomys ordii (Ord's kangaroo rat). It matches the Rfam family "tRNA". Rfam says of the family: Transfer RNA (tRNA) molecules are approximately 80 nucleotides in length. The record is from Rfam by way of RNAcentral. Lineage: Eukaryota; Metazoa; Chordata; Mammalia; Rodentia; Heteromyidae.
GGUGGCUUAAUGGUAGAGUGCUUGCCUAGCAUGCAUGAAGCCCUGGGUUCAAUUCCCCAGUACCA